This 5326-nucleotide long non-coding RNA is filed under the name Equus caballus (horse). Its description in RNAcentral is "lncRNA (ENSECAG00000060199.1)". The record is from RNAcentral. Lineage: Eukaryota; Metazoa; Chordata; Mammalia; Perissodactyla; Equidae.
CCCUCUCUACCUUCUGGCCAGAGGCUCAGUGGACACAGUGUUGCUUCUCGUCUCAGUAACCGGGCCUCCCAUCUGGUUGCAGGGCCCCAAAAUCAAGGUGUUAUCCCUGACCCUCCUGCAUCCCUCCUACCUCAUAUUUAACCCAUCGGGAAGUUCUAUCAAAUUUCAAAAACAUUCUAAUUCUCUCUAUCCAAUUCUAUCUUCCCCGUUGUACCCUAGUCUCAGCCACGACCUUCUCCCACCUGGGCUACUUACCACAUUAACCCCUCAGCUCGUCUCCGGGUGUCCCUCCUUUGCCCUCUGCAGACAGUCUCCACGGGGUAGCCAAAAUGUUUUAAGAAGGUUCUUUUGAAGGAAAAAUAUUUCCUACUUGGAAUUCCAUACCUACCCAAACUAUUGACCAAGCGGGAGAGUGGAACACACAUUUUCAGUUAUUAAUAAUCUCAAAAGAGUUACCUUCCACAUAUUCUUUCUGAGGAAGCUAUGCUCCACCAACGAGGGUCUGAAGCUAUUUUCAUUUCUGAUCGUUAGGACAGGUCCCUCUGUCUGUGUAUUCACACAGGCUCGUAGGGUCUCUUUAUCCUCGGUGUUCUGAAAGUUGACCAUGAUGUACCUUAGUGUAUUUCUAUUUUCAGACAUUGUUGUGGGCACUUGCUGUGCCCUUUGAACUUGGUAACUGAAGUGUAUUUCAGUUCAGUUUGGAGAAAUUUUCUUGGACUAUUUCAGUAAGGAUUUUCUGACCCCUGUUUUCUCUCUUCUUUCUAACAAGAACUGCUAUUUUUCAUGAGCUUGAUGCUCCAGGGGUAAUGUUUUCUCUCCCAUUUCCCAUCUCAUUGUCUUUUAGCUCUUCUUUCUGGAACAUUUCCUCAACUUUAUUUCCAACUAUCUAUUGAAUUUAUUAUUUCCACUUUUGUGCAUGGAAUUUCCAAGAGCUCUUUUAUGUUCUAUAAAUGUUCUUUUUUCAUAGUACUCUAUUCUUGUGCAUUUGUUUUCUAUUGCUACACAACAAAUUACUCUAAAACUUAGAGAUUUAAAGCAACAAUAAGCGUUUGUUGUCUCUCAGUUUCUUUGGGUCAGGAACUCUUGUGGGGCUCGGCAGCGUGAGCUCAGGAUCGGUGUCUCUCAUAAGCUCCACUUAAGAUGCUCCAGUGUUUACCGCCUGGUCUUAUCAGUUAUCUUGUGAUGUUGUCCUAAUUAGUGGGUUCAAACUAUGCUUUCCCAAGUUCUCAUAGUGUCAGGGGCCUCGCUCUUGAAGGCAGGCUCUGGGGAGAUGUGGGGCAGAGCGGCUCCAGCUGUGGGUCCCUCUCCCCGCUUCACUCACAGGGACCCCCAGCUCCGGGUUUCUUUGUUUUGUGUGUUAGAUUUUCCUGUAAACUCUGAUCUGAAGAAAGAGUUCUAAGGCUCAAGCAAGUGUGAAAAUCCCUGAACUGGACCAUUUUAAUUCCAAGCUAAACUUACUGAGGCUGCCAAUAAGCACAGGAAAAGAUGCUCACAUCAUCAGCCAUCAGGGAAACGUGAAUCAAAACCACAACGAGACAAAACUUUACACCCAAUGGGUGCCCUUGAUCAAGUAGACAGACAACAACAAGUGUUGGCAAGGAUGGGGAGAAACUGGACCUCUCCUACCCUGCUCGUGGGAUUGUCAAAUGGUGCAGCCACCUUGGAAAAGAGUCUGGCAGUUCCCCAAAAUGUUAAACAUAGAGUUAUCACACGACUCUGCAAUUCCACGACCAGGCAAGAGUCUGAACACAUAUGUCCACGCAAAAACUCGUACACGAGUGGUCGUAGCAGCGUCCUUCGUUAGCAGUCAGCAAUCCUUCAACUGAUCAACAGAAUGUGCUCUAUCCACACACUGGGUUAUUAUUCAACCAUGACAAUGAGUGGAGUGUUCAUUCACGCUACGACAUCAGGAACCUUGAAAGCACUAAGCUAAAUGAAAGACCACACAGUGCAUAAUUCCGUUUAUGUGACCCGUCCAGAAUAGGCAAAUCUAUAGGGACUGGAAGUAGAUUACUGGUUGCCUAGGAUGAGGGUGCAGUAGUUGGGGGAAAAAGUGGAGUGACUGCUAAUUUAUAUAGGGUGUCUUUUUGGGGUGAUGAAAAUGUUCUCAAAUUGAUUGUGGUGAUGUUUGCGCAACUAUAUGACUACACUAAAACCCAUUGAAUUCUAUACUUUAAAUAGGUGCAUUGUAUGGUACGUAGUUAUAUCUCCCUAAAGCUGUUUAAAGAAAUAAUCGUCGAGGCCGUGCUAUUACGGGGAGAAGUGUGUUAAAUCUCCACGAGAGAAAGAGAGAGAGAGAGAGAGAGAGAACGGCUUGUCUCCACACCGCCUGUGUCUGCAGAACCCAGAACAGUGCCUAGCAGCCAAUGUUUGUUGAAUGAAUGAAUGGUAAACUGUGCCAUUGUCACACAGAGAGGCACUGCCUCAUCACCCUUCAGGGCAGAUCCUGCUGCCCGGAUGUGGGGAGUGAGGUCACCGAAGCUCCCAGCUGCCAGCUCCGUCUGGGUCAGCCUCGGUUUCAGAGAGCCCGAGGUCACACCCUUCCUGGGGCAGCCUGGAUCCAGAUCCAGCGACUGAGUGAGUUGGGGUAUGAACCCCUGCCAUCGUGAGCCGUGUGGGACAACUCUGACAGGCGGCCCUCCCUCCGGAGCUCCCUCGGGCUGGUCCCGGCUCCCACAGGCCUGCACGGCAGUGCGAUGCCUGCUCUCUGCCCAGUCCUGCUUUUCACCUUCCUUCAGAAGUGUUGACCCUCGUACGUCCUCACACUCGGGCUCUGUGUCGGCGUCUGCUUCCAGAGACCCAGCGUGCCAGUCGGGAGUGGUCCAGGAAAGCAGGUGGUGAGGCGCGGCUUGGCAGCUGGAGUUCUGCCUGCCCGCCUGGCAGUGAGGACCCCAUCGCUGUGGUAGGCGGAGCACAGAGAACCCUUGGGACACGUGGCAUCAUUAAAACUCCCACUGGCGGGAAAUUGGGGUGGUGUGCCCGGGAGAGAACGCCCUGGAGGGUGCGACAAACCAGGAGUCUCACAGGUGUUGGGGACAUGGCGUCCGUCAGGAGAAGAUGCUGGAAAGGCUGCUGGUGCUGUAAGAAAAUAGGGAACAGCGGAGGGGGAGCUGGCAAUGGCAAGUCAGGGGUGACAGUCAGUGGCCUGUUGGGGUGGGCACAGAGACACUCAUGAGCUGUAGGGCGAGCCCAGGAAAUGAAGGCCAGGCCUGGGACUGAAUAGUGAGAGCAGCUGCAUUUCAAAGCCGGUGAGAUAUUCAACCACGGCUAGUCUGUUAGACCAAAGUCAGAGCCCUGGUUAGAGAACUCUGGGCCCCGACACGUGGGACGGAGGCAUCUGUGGAUGGAGACAUCGAGUGAAGGUCCUCAAAGAUUGCAACAGCCCGGGCUCCUCUGAAUCUGCAGAUGCGCCCCCUCCCCCAUAUUAAGAGCUAGCACGGCCUCCCCGGCUUGAAGGCAACGACAUAGAGGCCUCUCCCUGGCAGGACGACUUGCACCCCAUCAGGACCUGCCCCACCGCCUAUUCUGGCCACUAGGCCUUCAGGUCGCCAUGAAACCCAGCUGGGGAGGUGCUGGGCCUAACGACAGAGAAAGGACUACGUUCCAAAUGAGCCACGAGAACCAGUCAGCAAAUACCGCCAGCCCCAGGGGUGUGCCUGGAUCUGAGGAUGCUUGACUAGGGGGCUGGGACGUAGAGUGGACAGGAAGAAUUCACUGCUGUUUUGAGCUCUCCUGAGAUACGGCAUUUAGCACCCUGGCAAGGACCUCAGGGGAUGGUGUGAACUUGGUAUAAGGAUGGCUCUUGCAGCCCUGAGACCAACGGCAGCCAGGAUUGCCUGUGUCCCGCCAACCUCCCCUCCUAGGUAUCCCAUCAGGAAGAAUGGUCCAGAGGAUCCCGGAGGAGUUGCUGCCUAGACAGGUACGGAGAAGUGGACCUGAGCGACAGAAGGAGCAGGCUGUGUGGACAGGGAGAUGCAAGGCUCCAAUCUCCCUUCCAGGAAGGGCUUGCUGCCCCGCCGUGGGGUGGGGGGUGUGGUCAACAGCCAGCUUCCAGCUGUGAGCUCCUUCAGGGUCAGACUCGGCUGCAGGGGCCACCCCACCCGGCUCGCCCCUUCUUGGGCAUCCACGUCCGUAAAUGACGGCGGUAGGGGUAUGAAGACCUGAGUGCCUUGGCCCCACAUGGGACGACCCGAGGGGGUGCUCACCCCCGAGCUCCCUGCCAGCUUGGCUGAGGCCUCACUGGGCCACACUGCUGUUCCCCUGUUCCCUUCACCUGGUCCUGCUUCCUGCCCUUCCGCUCACGGAAAACAGCUUGCAUCCCAAACUCUGACUCAGCAUCUGCUUCUGAAGAACCCAGCGGGGACAUGCUGACACAGUGACACACGCGGAGCCCUCCUUUCCCACGACCACGUAUGCUCUCCAUCAAAGUAUAAUUUCCACAAAGUCGAAGACAAGGAUCUCCCACAUCAAUGUCUCUUGAUCGCUGCUCCCUCCCCUCAUCACCGAGGCCCAGGCUGGACGGGGCUUUGCGCUCACAUCCCAGGGCACAGCUGGGCAAGUGGACAAAGGCAUCAGGACAGGAAACCAUCAACAAGAGCGGCACGAAAUCUCUGGCUGGCCAGACGGUGCUUCCUGCCCGGGGCUCUCACGUCCAGACAACUGUAAAAUUUAUCCUUUGAGCCCAGACACUGCGGUGGGUGACAGGGGCCUCUUACAGUCCUGACGGGACAGCAGCAUCGGCCACGGCGGUCCUGGGCACUCGCUAUCCCGCAGCCAGGCCUUUCCUGGCACAGGACCCAGAGAAACGUGUGUCUCCCGGAGAACCCAUUUCUCCUACACAUUCAGGCUGCCAACCUCUACUCUCAUCUCUGCUGGGAAUUCAAGAAGCAAGACCCUGGCCCAGGGAGCCUCAGGGAACGGGCAAGGACCACUGUCAGGAGAAUGUGGAUGCUGCCUUGAGCACCGGACAGAGGACGCCAAGAGGAAGCCAGCGCUGUGGGGGCUCGGAGAGGCGCCUCACCUGCCAGAGAGGGUGCCGCUCAGGCUCAGCCCCUCAGGGGCUCUGGAGGAGAGACUCCAUGGGAAGGAAGAGGUUUGGGGUGAAUGCAGAGACCCAGGAGGAAAAGCUGCCUGAGAGGAGUCCCAGAGGGGCGAGUGCGUCGGCCCUGGGAGUCGCCAGAAAGCUCCUGCCCUUGCUGACCUUCCUCUCUUCGCUGUCACCCCGAGUCCCCACUCCUGGAGGGGGACCCCGCGUUACCUCCACGGGCCGUCGGCCGGGGGGCACCUCCUCACUGGCUCCCAGAGAAGUUUGUUGAAUACACGGCAG